AUUGAACGCUGGCGGCAUGCUUUACACAUGCAAGUCGAACGGUAACAGGCCUUCGAUUGCUGACGAGUGGCUAACGGGUGAGUAAUUCAUCGGAACGUGCCCAGAGGUGGUGGCUAACGCAGCGAAAGCUGUGCUAAUACCGCAUGUGAUCGGGGUAUGAGAGCGGGGGACCCUGCAGCAAUGUUUGGCCUCGCGCCUUUGGAACGGCCGAUGUCAGAUUAGGUAGUGGGUGGGGUAAAGGCCUACCAAGCCGACGAUCUGUAGCUGGUCUGAGAGGACGAACAGCCACACUGGGACUGAGACACGGCCCAGACUCCUACGGGAGGCAGCAGUGGGGAAUUUUGGACAAUGGGCGCAAGCCUGAUCCAGCAAUGCCGCGUGCGGGAAGAAGGCCUUCGGGUUGGAAACCGCUUUUGUACGGAACGAAAAGGCUCUGGCUAAUACCUGGGGAUGAUGACGGUACCGUAAGAAUAAGCACCGGCUAACUACGUG
RNAcentral lists this ribosomal RNA (492 nucleotides) under uncultured bacterium. Its description in RNAcentral is "partial 16S ribosomal RNA". It matches the Rfam family "Bacterial small subunit ribosomal RNA", at positions 30 to 507 of the family's 1533-position model. The record is from RNAcentral.